RNAcentral lists this ribosomal RNA (207 nucleotides) under Klebsiella quasipneumoniae. RNAcentral describes it as "partial 23S ribosomal RNA". It matches the Rfam family "Bacterial large subunit ribosomal RNA", at positions 1443 to 1653 of the family's 2925-position model. Lineage: Bacteria; Pseudomonadati; Pseudomonadota; Gammaproteobacteria; Enterobacterales; Enterobacteriaceae. The record is from RNAcentral.
CUUGGUGUUACUGCGAAGGGGGGACGGAGAAGGCUAUGUUAGCCGGGCGACGGUUGUCCCGGUUUAAGCAUGUAGGCUGAUUAUCCAGGCAAAUCCGGAUAAUCAAGGCUGAGGUGUGAUGACGAGGCACUACGGUGCUGAAGUAACAAAUGCCCUGCUUCCAGGAAAAGCCUCUAAGCAUCAGGUAACAUCAAAUCGUACCCCAAA